RNAcentral lists this transfer RNA (87 nucleotides) under Candidatus Dependentiae bacterium ADurb.Bin331. RNAcentral describes it as "tRNA-Leu". It matches the Rfam family "tRNA". Rfam says of the family: Transfer RNA (tRNA) molecules are approximately 80 nucleotides in length. The record is from RNAcentral. RNAcentral also lists the same sequence under 3 other names.
GCAAGAGUGGCGGAAUUGGCAGACGCACUGGACUUAGGAUCCAGCUCCCGAAAGGGAAUAGGGGUUCGACUCCCCUCUCUUGCACCA